Callithrix jacchus (white-tufted-ear marmoset) is the source of this 4697-nucleotide non-coding RNA. The record is from RefSeq and is a predicted model, not a curated record. Lineage: Eukaryota; Metazoa; Chordata; Mammalia; Primates; Cebidae.
AGGGCAGGGUUCGGGGUUCAGGGGCGGGGUGUUCACGGCGAGACCAAAAGGCAGGCAGGAGCCUCCGGGUUCCCUGCUGUGUCAUCGGGAGAGGCCGCGGGGGUUGGCCGGGGGCGGGUCGGGGGCGGGGCCGGACCUGACGGCGGCGGCCUAGUUCAGUCCAGCUCUCCGCACGCCAGGGUCGGGUGCUCGCCAGCAUGUCCUUCAUCCCAGUGGCCGAGGAUUCCGACUUCCCCAUCCACAACCUGCCCUACGGCGUCUUCUCCACCAGAGGCGACCCAAGACCGAGGAUAGGCGUGGCUAUUGGCGAGCAGAUCCUGGACCUCAGCGUCAUCAAGCAUCUCUUCACUGGACCUGUCCUCUCCAAACACCAGGAUGUCUUCAGUGAGCCUACACUCAACAGCUUCAUGGGCCUGGGGCAGGCUGCCUGGAAGGAGGCAAGAGUGUUCUUGCAGAACUUGCUGUCUGUGAGUCAAGCCAGGCUCAGAGAUGACACGGAACUUCGGAAGCGUGCAUUCAUCUCCCAAGUGUCUGCCACGAUGCACCUUCCAGCCGCCAUAGGAGACUACACAGACUUCUAUUCCUCUCGGCAGCACGCUACCAACAUCGGAGUCAUGUUCAGAGGCAAGGAGAAUGCAUUGAUGCCAAAUUGGCUGCACUUACCAGUGGGCUACCAUGGCCGUGCCUCCUCUGUCGUGGUGUCUGGUACUCCUAUCCGAAGGCCCAUGGGACAGAUGCAACCUGAUGACUCGAAGCCUCCUGUAUAUGGUGCCUGCAAGCUCUUGGACAUGGAGCUGGAAAUGGCUUUUUUUGUAGGCCCUGGAAACAGAUUGGGAGAGCCGAUCCCCAUUUCCAAGGCCCAUGAGCACAUUUUUGGAAUGGUCCUGAUGAAUGACUGGAGUGCACGAGACAUUCAGAAGUGGGAGUAUGUCCCUCUUGGGCCAUUCCUCGGGAAGAGUUUUGGGACCACCAUCUCUCCAUGGGUGGUGCCCAUGGAUGCUCUCAUGCCCUUUGCUGUGCCUAACCCAGAGCAGGACCCCAGGCCCCUGCCGUAUCUCUGCCAUGACCGGCCCUACACAUUUGACAUCAACCUCUCCGUUGCCCUGAAAGGAGAAGGAAUGAGCCAGGCGGCUACCAUAUGCAAGUCCAAUUUUAAGUACAUGUACUGGACGAUGCUGCAGCAGCUCACUCACCAUUCUGUCAAUGGCUGCAACCUGCAGCCGGGGGACCUUCUGGCUUCUGGGACCAUCAGCGGGCCGGAGCCAGAAAGCUUCGGCUCCAUGUUGGAACUGUCGUGGAGGGGAACAAAGCCCAUAGAGCUGGGGAACGGACAGGCCAGGAAGUUUCUGCUGGACGGGGAUGAAGUCAUCAUAACAGUAGACAUUUAUUGAGCACCUACACGGAGUCCCACCCUGGAGUUCUGGUGAUGAAAAGACAAAUGAAGUCUCUGCUCUUCUGGGUUUACGUUCCAGUGUCAUCAUGACUGCACUGUUUCAGAUGAGAAAGUGAAGGCAUCGUGGGGUUAAAUGACUUGCCCAAGAUCUUGUAGGCAAUAAUGAAGGACGUCUGUUUCCCCUCCAGGCAGUUUGUCUUCAGAACCUCCAUGUUUAACACCUUUGAUACUGUCUAAAGCACCUAUCAGAGCACUUGUUACCUUGUGAGUGCUUAAAAAUAGUGAUGGUCUUUUCAUAGUCAUCUUUAUUUCCAUUGCUGUUUUUUUCAGAACCCAGUUUUUAGAAGGAUUUGCCUCUUAACCCCUUCUUCUUCUUUUUUUUUUUUUAGACAGAGUCUCACUCUGUUGCCUAGGCUGGAGUGCAAUGGGGGGGAUCUUGGCUCACUGCAACCUCCGCCUCCUGGGUUCAAGUGAUUCUCCUGCCUCAGCCUCCCAAGUAGCUGAGACUACAGUCACGUGCCACCACACCCAGCUAAUUUUUGUAUUUUUAGUAGAGAUGAGGUUUCAACUUAUUGGCCAGGGUGGUCUCGAUCUCUUGACCUUGUGAUCUGCCCGCCUUGGCAUCUGAAAGUGUUGAGAUUACAGGGGUGAGCCACCGCACCCGGCCUGGUCCCUUCUUAAUGGGAUCUCUACAUGAAGGGCAGGAAUCAGCGGCAGCUGGUGGCCCAUGGAACAGCCCCCCAGGAUGAGGUGGUGCCUGGCUUCUGCACUCACACUCCAUGUCCUGCUCUCCACCUGCUGACCACACAUUUCCCUCGGGAUGCCUAAUUGUCACCCUUGCCCCUCCUUCCUUGACUGUCUUGGUAUGGCUGCCAAUCUGUGGGCUGGAAGCUUGCACCCAUUUCAUCAGCACCGUCUAUUGGGCAUCGUUGGAAAAUGCCCUGCCAUCUCUGUGCCGCGGACCUACUCCACACCACCACCCUUCCAGGCCUGGAAUUCUGGAAGAGCUUUUGCAGCAGGCCUCUGCAAUCCAUCCUGCUCAUGGUGCCUGAAAAAUGAGGCUUCGUGUUUGCUUUUCCCAUUACUCUUCUGCUCAAGGUCUUCUCAUGGAUCCUGUUUCAUCAAGUCAAUAUCCUCCUCUUUGAAUCUGCUCUACCCGCUUAGUCCUGUUCUCAAAUGUAACCCUCUGUGAUAAGGACGUUGCUCUUCUCAUUGCGUGCAAACCUUUGGAUAUACGCUGGCUCAGCCCAAAUGUUGCCUUCUCUGCUUGCUCAGGUAGAAUCAAUCUCCAUGUCCUCUCUGCUAGCAAUUCAUGGAAAACACAGAAUUCUGAUUAAUUGUGAUUAAAACGUGUCAGUUUCCAUGCUUAACUAAAAGCUUGUGUUAGUUUUCUGUGGCUGCAGUAACAUAUUACUGCAAACUUUGUGGCUUAAAACAACUGAAAUGUAUUCUCUUACAGCUCCGUAAGGUGUAAGUUCGAACUCCACGUGUUGGCAGUGCUGCGCUCCUGGAGACUCUGGGGAGGGUCUGUUCCUUGCCCCUUCCAGCUUCUGGUGGAAGCCUCUAUGGCUUGUGGUCACAUCACACUGAUCUCUGCCCCCAUGGUCACAUCUGCGUCAUCUCCUUUGCCUCUUUCUUAUAACACACGUGACAGUAUUUGCGACCCACCUAGAAGUCUCCUCAUUUUAACAUUCUAACUUAAUUACAUCUCCAAAAUAUUUACUAUAUAAGGCAAUGUUUACAAGUCCUAGGGAUUUAGGCCCUGAUGUCUUUGGGAACCAUACAUUUGUCCACUGCAGAACUCUUGGAGAGCAAAGUUCAGUCCAAGUAGCAGCCACGUGGUACAUGCUCAGAAUGGCUGUUGGUUAGUUCAUUGAAUCAAGUGGAUUUGGUAGAGAAGAGGCAGGAAGAGCUCAAAACAGCAGAUGAUACCCAUUAUUAGGCAAAAAACCCAUUUUGCUCCCAUUUCUGCAGCCUAAUUAUACCUCUCUAAUUUGAAUUUGACAAUAUUUACUGAAUCUCUGCUAGGAGCCAACCAUAUUGUAGGCACAUCCACCUUCCUUAUUUCAUUUUUUUUUUUUUUUUGAGAUGGAGUUUCGUUCUUGUUACCCAGGCUGGAGUGCAAUGGCACCAUCUCGGCUCACCGCAACCUCUGCCUCCUGGGUUCAGGCAAUUCUCCUGCCUCAGCUUCCUGAGUAGCUGGGAUUACAGGCACGCGCCACCAUGCCCAGCUAAUUUUUGUAUUUUUAGUAGAGACGGGGUUUCACCAUCUUGACCAGGAUGGCCUCGAUCUCUUGAUCCACCCGCCUCGGCCUUCCAAAGUGCUGGGAUUAUCGGUAUGAGCUGCCACGCUUGGCCCCUUAUUUCAUUUUUUACUCACAGUAAUGUCAUUGCCCUGAUUUUGCAGAGUAGAAAACUUAGGCUGAUAGAAGGCAAGUUGCUUGACAACAGUCCCACAGCUGGGGAAGCCAGGUUGCAACUGAGGUCCUCUGAGUCCCCGGAUUCAUUUCUCGUCUUUCUGCAUUGCUUGCCAGACCUACUGCAGACUUUCGUCAUGGUUCUGUGGAUUGAGUGAAAGCAUUUUCUGAAGUUUUGAUUUGGGGAAUGGAAGGAAAGAGAUGGAAUGGCAGAAGAGAAGAUGAUGGCGUUAGCUCUCUGUUGUCUGUGCUAAGGGCCCCUGACUAAGCCGUGCUAGACCAGGCAGCUGUCCAGGGCCUCGGAGGAAGGAGACUGGUGUUAAGCAGUAGGAAUGCACAUGUGUUCUUGACAUUUGAGCCAGAGAAGGCGGGAGAAAGGAGCCAAGUUGCCCUGAGAGUUGUUUCUAUGUUUGUUUGUGUCCACAAUGCCUUGCUCUGAAGGAUUUUUGGAGGCCAGCGGAGAAUUCAGGAAAAGGCAGUUCCUUGGAUCUGAGGAAGCACAUGUUGGCAAGUGGAGAGGGAAAUGGGAACAGAUGGGUGAAAUCCCCUGGAACCAAGAAAGAAGAAUUAUAAUUUGCUAAGAGGAGAGGCAUACAUUAUGUAUUCAUACGAAGAAAAAGGAGAAUUUCAUACAGAGGGGGAUCACUGAAGAAUUCAAGAUACUGCCAGGGGGACGGUUACCGCAUCGGCUUUGGUCAGUGUGCCGGAAAAGUGCUGCCUGCUCUCUUGCCAGCAUGAGAUUUUCUCUGCUCUUCUGGAAACAGGGCUCAAGCACCCCUCCCAGCCCUGUGACUGGGGUCCUCCCUCGGGCUUAGGCCUGCACCUUCAUUCAGUGACAAAUAAAGCCAUUGUGCUCAGAGGCCUGCACAGCCGCAGGUGCAGAUGUA